CCCUGGUUAGCUCAGUUGGUAGAGCGCUCCACCUGUAAUGGAGAGGUCUCGGGUUCGAUACCCGGACCAGGCG
Molecule: non-coding RNA, 73 nt
Organism: Ixodes scapularis (black-legged tick)
Lineage: Eukaryota; Metazoa; Arthropoda; Arachnida; Ixodida; Ixodidae
Source: Rfam